AAAAUCCUGUGUUUCGCUUUAAGUCCGCCGUGUACGGUGCUCGCUCUCAAAGUCACGCUCCUCGGAAUUGGAGCGUAAAUCAGGUGGUAGAUUUCAUCUAAAGCCAAAUACAGACCUGAGGCCGAUAGUNANCAAGUACCNUGAGGGAAAGAUGAAAAGGACUUUGGAAAGA
RNAcentral lists this ribosomal RNA (172 nucleotides) under Symbiodinium sp. MIA. RNAcentral describes it as "partial large subunit ribosomal RNA". It matches the Rfam family "Eukaryotic large subunit ribosomal RNA", at positions 215 to 384 of the family's 3401-position model. The record is from RNAcentral. Lineage: Eukaryota; Dinophyceae; Suessiales; Symbiodiniaceae.